Long non-coding RNA from Mustela erminea (ermine), 2821 nucleotides. RefSeq lists it as uncharacterized. The transcript is spliced from 2 exons. The record is from RefSeq and is a predicted model, not a curated record. Lineage: Eukaryota; Metazoa; Chordata; Mammalia; Carnivora; Mustelidae.
GGAUCCUGGGACAAGAGACAGUACUUAGUGUCAUAAGAAGCAAAACUGAUUCACCAUCAUUGGCACAUGGAAUUAGUAAGAGAUAUAAUGAGAGAUAGUAACCGUCAAUAUUAAGCAUAUACUUACUGUGUACCAUGGCACUAUGCUAGAACUUUUAAACCUUACAACAACCUCUGAAGUGUAGGUACUGCUUUCAUUCUCAUUUCACAGAUGAGGAAACUGAGGCUCAGAGGACUAUAACUGAUGAGGGUCACACAGCUCGAAGGUAGCAGAGCUGUUUUUAACUUCUAUAUGAUUUUUGCCAUUUGGAUGCCAGCUUUGAAUGAAGGAAGGGUUACAGAAUGGUGAUGAUUUCUCCCUCCACAAAGAAGUCACAUAUGAGUUUAUCCUGGUGGAACUCAAAAGGACUGUUGACUGCGUAACAUUACCUUGCUGAGCUUUGGGAUCCUAACGUGGACACCAGCCCGUAAUCCUGUGCCAAGGUUCGAAGGGCAGGUCAGAAUAUAUCCUAGUCGCUCAUUCCACAUGAACUCCCAGCCUCGCGCUUGGAUUAAGCGUUCCACCUACAGCAGUGAACAAACGGAGUUCUUAAGUAUCCAUUUACUUGGUACAUCCGCAACACCAGGGAGAGACAUGUGUACUGUAUGUCUGCCAUGAGUGAGAUUCAGGCAAAUUUAUAUUACUUCCUUAAUGGAAAAGGAUACUUCUAUCCAAAUAUUAAAAUGAGUCAAUUAAAUUAGAUGAAGCAGGUACAGCACUGAAUGCAGUACUAGCACAUCCUAAAUAUUCAAUGAAUGUCCGUUGCUGUUAUUUUUCAUACGAGAAUAAUAGGAGAAUGUAGGAAUUCUCAGCAGGUAAGGCUGUGGUCAGGUUACUUAGGAACAUAGUUACAUCCUGUACUGUCUCUAUGCUUAGAAUCACCAGGAGCACUGUUAAGGAAACUGGAUCAUAAGUAAUGAUCCACAGACUUCCCUGAACCAUUCUGGACUGGGGAGAAGGGCAGAGGAGACUUUUUUUUUUUUAACUAGUAAAUUCCUAUUUUUGAAGCCCUGGCCUGGUAGUCCCGCCCUCAGAGAGUGCCAUGAUCCUAAAGAAAAUUAGCCUCAUCCUGGUAAUCACCAUAGUGUCUUCUGUUAAGAAUGAAGAAGUGAUUUCAUUUUAAUGAAAAUUCAGAAAUCUCUGGUAACAUCUUACCUCUUUCAGUCCUCGACAGAAUCGCUCAAAUACUCUUUUCAUAUUGCCUCCUUUUUCCAUAGAGAUUACCCUGGUGUGGUCUUCCUCAUUAAUCCAGAUGAGAAAGGUCUUGUCAUAAUUAUGCCUAAUGAAAGGAGAAAUACGGUGUUGCGUGUCAAAUCCAUUUGUUUCAACACAUGAAGAUUCCCUUUACUCCUGUGGCUUCAUUGCUUCAUUUCACCUUCCUCAUUCCUACAAAGCCCUAAGCUUUUUACUGUGCCUGAACAAGUGCUACAAAAUAAUGUUACCGUGACAGAACAAACAACAAGACCAACUCCAACCCUUAAAGAUGUACUGUUUUUUUCCCCAACAAGAAUAUCAUCUUCCCCAGUCCUUGGACAAGGAGGACAAUAAUUCAGCUAUGGAUAACAUUUGGCUUUGGCACUAACAAGAGUAUUCUAAGAGGCUCAACCAAAAUCUUGUGGCGCUUCAAGAAAGUUUUUUUACCUGCAGCCCAGGAGGUUUGGGAUGCAGAAGAUCUCACAUAUGUUUACUGCCUAGAUCCUGCCUAUCCACACACACGGAGCAUCUGCUCACGAACACACUUAUCGCAGCUCCUUCGGAGAGUGUCAGAAUAACCUACCAAAGUACACGGGAAUCAAAGUGGACUGAGGACUUUGGCCAAGAUAAAAUACGUGUAUACUCGAUAUCCAUUCUUCCUUGUAGGGUUUUGCUUAAGUCCUCGAAACUUUUCAUUUUCUGCUCUUUUGUUUUAAAGUCAUGAAACAGAUUCUCUGUGAGGUCAAAUAAUAUGAAGCUAAUUUUUCUUAAAAAUAGUCUUUCUCAUGCAUAAUUCAUGCAAACCAGCGAACAUUCUUACAUAUCUUAGAUACAUCACCAUACUGUGGAAUGACACACACACAAAUUUCUACAGUCUCUCUCUCCCCCAUUUAACUCAAGCCGGGCAUGCUGUCAGCUGCGGCUCACAGCAACUGCAGGUUAGGAGAAGCAGGUGAUCUGAAGGAGAUCGUCUGUACACACUGCAAAUGUGAAAAUGCUGUGUCCAUACCAGAUUCCCCUGGCAUCUGGCCAGUCACGGGCCAUCCCAGCACAUGUUAGUAAGGGGGAUACUGGCUUAUCAAAUAGAAAGUGGUCCUGCAGGCCAGAACGGACAAAGCAGAAAGGAAAAAAUGAUGAGAUCAGACACAACUACAUGUGCCAGGUCUGUCAGACAGUGGUUCUCAGCCUUGGCCGCCCACUGGAACAACCUGGGUUUUUUUUUUUUUAAAUAUGAAUGUUCCUGCCCCCCAGAGAUUCUGUCCUAAUUGUUAUGGGGUGUGGCCUGGACAGUGGGAUUUUUUAAAAGCUCUUCAGAUGAUUCUAGCUUACAGCUAAGGUUGAAAUCCACUGGCUUAGCCCAGAUGGAAACAAUCACUAUGAAUUAUAUUUAUCCACCAGCACCAAUGCUAUGCAGUGUUGGAGCAGGCAGUGAGUGAGGGACACGCUCCUGGAAAGGCUGGUAUACACAGCCACCAUUCUCUACAUGUCCGGCAUUAGUGGAUCUCUUAUUACUAUCCUUCCUUUCACUAACAAGUAUUGGAGAUGUAAAACAAUGGAUUAUAAAUAAAAAUAUCUACCAUUAAUUCAA